GCCUUUGUAAUGUAAUGGUCAGCACAUUUAGCCCGUAUUCGAAAGGUCCGUGGUUCGAGUCCUGGCGAGGGCA
Molecule: transfer RNA, 73 nt
Filed under: Stegodyphus mimosarum
Lineage: Eukaryota; Metazoa; Arthropoda; Arachnida; Araneae; Eresidae
Rfam family: tRNA
About the family: Transfer RNA (tRNA) molecules are approximately 80 nucleotides in length. Their secondary structure includes four short double-helical elements and three loops (D, anti-codon, and T loops).
Source: Rfam by way of RNAcentral